AUUCAAAGCAAUACAGAGGGAAAAAAAUCAAUUUUUUUAACGUUAACAGAAUGCUUAAAAACUUAAAAGGACUACAAAUGUUUCAUUGGAUUUUGAUACUACAUACUUUGGUUUUAAUUUGUUGUAUCUCCACAAUUUUACUAUUAUGCAGCAAUAAGUAUUAAGCCAUAUUUAGGAUUUUACUUACUCAAAAAAAAUUAAUGGACGGUUUUUCAUGUUCAAGCCAUCAUGCUGGCUUGAGAAGCAGGGUUGGGUGGUGGGAGGAUGUAAUGGUUAGCUUAUUUUCCUCAAAUCAGAGCCAUUUAGAUACUUUUACAACUAUUGCUUAAAAUCUCUGCAGCAAGAACUUGCCAUUAACAGGGCAGCAUAUUCCUCUGUCUUCUAUUGUAAUUGAAAGAAAUUAUUUUUCACCAUAGUCCAACACCACCUACCUCCCAUCGGCCACCUAGUUCUGACUUCUAGAGCAACACCAAGCCAGGCCAAUGCUUCAUUCUUGGAAUUCUCUAAGAUAAAAAUUCCAAGUACUGCAACUUCCUUUUUCUAACCCAGCUAUAAGGUUUCAUAUCAAUUAUCAUUAAAUUUCAUUGUAUUGGUUUCAUCAAUUACUCACUUUAUUGAGCUAUCCAAAUAUUUAUUCUGGGAUUCAUUACAUUAGAUACUUCUCUAAGUUUGUCUUUCUGCCUUUGAAAUACACUGGGACGACAAUUAAAAUGAUAAAAGUAUCAGACAUCUUUAUUUUUCAGCUCAGGAAAAAUAGGAUGGUGAUGAAAAAAAUUAUUUAAUUCACCUUUAAAAUUUCUCAUGUGGGCUUCUUAGAAAUACUUAACUUUCAUUUUAAAAUGGUACAUAAAAUAGUCAUACACAUGCACACAUUUUUCUUUUUUAAAUAUCUGAAACACAUUUUAGCCUGAUGUAUGAAAUUAGAUAAUGUAAACAGUGACAGAUGUUUUACUGUACGAAAAUAUUUCCUGAAUAAUCAGAUUAAGCUCAUGAAUUAGAGAUGAUUUCUUCAAAUUUUAUAAACAUG
Molecule: long non-coding RNA, 1027 nt
Filed under: Marmota monax (woodchuck)
Lineage: Eukaryota; Metazoa; Chordata; Mammalia; Rodentia; Sciuridae
Source: RNAcentral